GACGAACGCUGGCGGCGUGCUUAACACAUGCAAGUCGAGCGGUAAGGCUCCUUCGGGGGUACACGAGCGGCGAACGGGUGAGUAACACGUGAGUAAUCUGCCCUUCACUUCGGGAUAAGCUUCGGAAACGGGGUCUAAUACCGGAUAUGACAACUGGAUGCAUGUUUGGUUGUGGAAAGUUUUUUCGGUGGGGGAUGUGCUCGCGGCCUAUCAGCUUGUUGGUGGGGUAAUGGCCUACCAAGGCUUUGACGGGUAGCCGGCCUGAGAGGGUGACCGGCCACACUGGGACUGAGACACGGCCCAGACUCCUACGGGAGGCAGCAGUGGGGAAUAUUGGACAAUGGGCGGAAGCCUGAUCCAGCAACGCCGCGUGAGGGAUGACGGCCUUCGGGUUGUAAACCUCUUUCGUCAUCGACGAAGUCAUGGUUUUUCCAUGGUGACGGUAGGUGGGGAAGAAGCACCGGCCAACUACGUGCCAGCCGCCGCCGUAAAAC
This 494-nucleotide ribosomal RNA is filed under the name uncultured bacterium. Its description in RNAcentral is "bacterial SSU rRNA". It matches the Rfam family "Bacterial small subunit ribosomal RNA", at positions 28 to 526 of the family's 1533-position model. The record is from RNAcentral.